AUUGAACGCUGGCGGCAGGCCUAACACAUGCAAGUCGAGCGGUAGAGAGGUGCUUGCAUCUCUUGAGAGCGGCGGACGGGUGAGUAAUGCCUAGGAAUCUGCCUAGUGGUGGGGGAUAACGUUCGGAAACGGACGCUAAUACCGCAUACGUCCUACGGGAGAAAGCGGGGGAUCUUCGGACCUCGCGCCAUUAGAUGAGCCUAGGUCGGAUUAGCUAGUUGGUGAGGUAAUGGCUCACCAAGGCGACGAUCCGUAACUGGUCUGAGAGGAUGAUCAGUCACACUGGAACUGAGACACGGUCCAGACUCCUACGGGAGGCAGCAGUGGGAAUAUUGGACAAUGGGCGAAAGCCUGAUCCAGCCAUGCCGCGUGUGUGAAGAAGGUCUUCGGAUUGUAAAGCACUUUAAGUUGGGAGGAAGGGUAGUAACCUAAUACGUUAGCUAC
Molecule: ribosomal RNA, 444 nt
Filed under: uncultured bacterium
Lineage: Bacteria
Description: bacterial SSU rRNA
Rfam family: Bacterial small subunit ribosomal RNA
Source: RNAcentral